Molecule: long non-coding RNA, 2433 nt
Organism: Ruditapes philippinarum (Manila clam)
Lineage: Eukaryota; Metazoa; Mollusca; Bivalvia; Venerida; Veneridae
Exons: 2
Source: RefSeq, a predicted model, not a curated record
CAAUACGCGGAUACAGACUCCGAGAGCAGAAACGGAAACGUGAUCAUCACAUCGGAUCUCAAAUGUUAGAUGAGGACGGCGAGUGGUCGUAUCACAGAACAUUACCAUCGUUCAGAUCAUCUUCGGGAUUAAAGCAUCAUGGACGGGGAUAUAUAUCCAACCAAGGUCACGCAGAGGAUGGACUCUAUCCUUAUGCUUCUAAAUAUAUCAGUAGAGGAAGAAGCGGUGAACAGGAUCCCACUUUACCAUAUUCACUGUCCCAUAAAGUUAACCCUAUUUAUAACUGGUGAAACAUAGACAACCUUUUUAGUAUUUAUCGCUGUAAUGCUUAUAAUUUGCUAGAAUAAUGAAAAGUGAAAUCCGUGUUACUAUAAUAUUCGACAAAUGAAAACAAAAUCUUUUUUGCCGCUAAUUAAUCGACCAGCAACGAAGGCUGCAAUCAUCCGAUUUUCAUUGUUAUAAACAUUCUUUAUUGCGAGUGCAAUAUCAGUGGAAAUGAACGUAAUUUAACUUUGUUGUUAUAUGUUUCAACUUAUAAAUGUAAUUUAUGCACGUAAAAUGUUUUAUGGACGAAAUGGUUUCUAAGAUAUUAUAAUACAACAGCUGUUGUCAGUGACAUCUUUAACUGAUAUGCAGCGUGGUUUUCCUGCGCAUUUACGAUUCUUAGCGUCACAUAUUGUACAUAAAGGAAAUCAUAUAUUUUGUCAGCUUGAAUUUCACGAUCGUAGCAUUGCGUUUACAUCAAAAACAAUUUCAUCAUAUUGCAAAGAUUUGUGUUGUUUAAUAUUUAGCUUGAUAAAUUAAAAGUGUUAAAGUUAACGUGUUUACGGAUUUCGACGAUUUUGGGAUCACAAAUAUUUUUCUUUGUUGGGCUGAACAGUGAACCACUUGGGUGGGGGACUUGAUUGACUGCUUCAGCUGAGAAUGUUUCAUACUUUCAAAGUUUGUGUUUACGCUCACCAUUUAAUAUAUAAAGCAGAUAAGUAUUUUCGUUAAGCUAAUAUUUCAAAGUUUAUGUUGACCCUCACUGUUGAAAAUAUAAAGCAGGUAUUUUCGUUUUGCUUGUCAUUAAAUCUAAUGUUGUUCUAAACUGUCUGGAAAAUAAUUUAAGCUUAAAUUCAUGAGUUUGCCGAAAAGUACCCGAGAGACUGCCUUACUUUUUAAUUUCAAGGCUUGUGUCUGAGUUAUUCCGAACAAGUAUCCGAGGUUUUGCGGUUUGUUUUACUUGUCUCAAUCAUAGGAGCUACGUCUAGCAUCUUUGCUUCAUAUUAUUCAUUCAGUUUUCAACAUGUCAUUUGCAGACAAGUUUUUUUCCGGACUAAUUUUAUUAUAUUCAUUCAAUUUGUGUUUUAUUUCUGUUUAAAAUAAAUACAGCUAUUGAAAUAUACAUUUUGAAAAUCAAAACAAUGCUCUUACACUGACAAAGCGCUAAUCAAGUUUACUAAACAAAAAAAGUUAUACAUUGGCAUCAGUGAUCAUGAAUUAUAUGUUAAACGAUUGUUGAACGAAAAUGAGUUUAUGAAGAGUUGUAUGAAUUAGUAUAUUCUGUCUUAUUCCAUGUUUCCCUUUUGUUGACUUAUUAACAUACUUACAUGUACAUGUUUCUAAAACAUUUCUCUUUUUUUGUUGUGUUUCUCAAUAUCUUAGUUUCAAACGUAUUGUAUUUUGUUUAUGUUUACAGUAUGUAAGGAGCAAUAAAAAUGUAGCAAACAUCAUAUAUGUACACUUAGUUUUGUUUCAUGAGUGAGUUCAUAAACAUUUAUGCUUUGUUUUAGUGUCGAUACCUGCAUAGCCUUAUUGUGUUUUGUUUUGUUAUGUACUUUCAGAAUUCAUGGGAGCACUUCUAGUUCUGUUAUAAAUGUCUUAAUCGCAAUAUCCAUUUAACCAUAUCUUAAUUAUUGUGUGUAUUCUUAAGAGGUCGUAUAAACGCGUCUCCCAUCUAUAUCUAACAUUUCUAUAGAAAAUAAUUCCAAUUUGAAAUCAAACGCCUCCAUCUGCAACUAAAAUGGCAAAAGGGUGCCAUGUUCUUUUAUCAUAAUCACAAAAAAUGUUACUAAACAUUGAUAUGCAGCGACAUCAGCGGUCACAAUCUAUGAUAUGAAUUUUAUAAUAAACGAUUUGUAAAAUAGAAAUGGUAACAUUCAAAGAUUUUGUCAGUGAACAUCAGUCAUAUUUUAUGUUGAAUUCGUAUAUGUUGUCCAGUUUCAUCAUAUUUCCGUACUGUUGAUUUAAGAAUAAAUUAAAAUACUUCUAAGCAUAGUCAUAGAAUAGUUUGUUUUUAUUUGUUGUUAGUCAUUUUACCUUAGUAAUCACCCAAAUGCUUCAUAUUUUUUAAUGUGUACAAAUCUUAAAAGCAAUUUAAUGAUAUAAAUAUAGCAUAUAAGCCAUAUAAGGGCAACAAGUUUUGUUUUCUGACAGUGUACAUGAACAGUC